Molecule: non-coding RNA, 491 nt
Organism: Tachysurus fulvidraco (yellow catfish)
Lineage: Eukaryota; Metazoa; Chordata; Actinopteri; Siluriformes; Bagridae
Source: the annotation of a RefSeq genome assembly
CUCGAAUUCAUAAGCAAGCGUUGGUGUGCUCUGUUCUAAGACAGGAAACAAAUCAGCAUAAUGAUUCUGCUCUUUUUAUCUCAAAUCAUGCUGGAUGGUCUCGCGGCAAGUCAUCGAGUUGAACAAUCUCCUCCUUACCUGUUCAAAAAUCACGCCGAAUCUGCUCAAUUCUAUUGCUCCUAUGCAGUCAAGAACUUUGAGCAAAUACUCUGGUACAAACAGUUUAAGGAAAUGAAUUUAAUGUUCCUUGGACAUCAAAAUAUCAAAUAUACCUAUUCGGAACAGGCUGCCAAAAUAAACCUCGAUGAAGACACGAACAGUAAUGCCACACUUACUAUUAACUAUCUGACAGCAAAAGACAACGGCGUUUAUUUCUGUGCAGUUCAGAUUCACAGUGUGUCAAUGUUCCCUUCUCCCUGUACAAAAACACAUAUCUCAGGAUAUAUCUAAUACAUAUGAUCUACACUGAUGGAGAUCAUUGUUCAUGCAAC